GGGUUGUGAGGUUAAGCGACUAAGCGUACACGGUGGAUGCCCUGGCAGUCAGAGGCGAUGAAGGACGUGCUAAUCUGCGAUAAGCGUCGGUAAGGUGAUAUGAACCGUUAUAACCGGCGAUUUCCGAAUGGGGAAACCCAGUGUGUUUCGACACACUAUCAUUAACUGAAUCCAUAGGUUAAUGAGGCGAACCGGGGGAACUGAAACAUCUAAGUACCCCGAGGAAAAGAAAUCAACCGAGAUUCCCCCAGUAGCGGCGAGCGAACGGGGAGGAGCCCAGAGCCUGAAUCAGUGUGUGUGUUAGUGGAAGCGUCUGGAAAGGCGCGCGAUACAGGGUGACAGCCCCGUACACAAAAAUGCACAUACUGUGAGCUCGAUGAGUAGGGCGGGACACGUGGUAUCCUGUCUGAAUAUGGGGGGACCAUCCUCCAAGGCUAAAUACUCCUGACUGACCGAUAGUGAACCAGUACCGUGAGGGAAAGGCGAAAAGAACCCCGGCGAGGGGAGUGAAAAAGAACCUGAAACCGUGUACGUACAAGCAGUGGGAGCCUCUUAAUGGGGUGACUGCGUACCUUUUGUAUAAUGGGUCAGCGACUUAUAUUCUGUAGCAAGGUUAACCGAAUAGGGGAGCCGAAGGGAAACCGAGUCUUAACUGGGCGUUAAGUUGCAGGGUAUAGACCCGAAACCCGGUGAUCUAGCCAUGGGCAGGUUGAAGGUUGGGUAACACUAACUGGAGGACCGAACCGACUAAUGUUGAAAAAUUAGCGGAUGACUUGUGGCUGGGGGUGAAAGGCCAAUCAAACCGGGAGAUAGCUGGUUCUCCCCGAAAGCUAUUUAGGUAGCGCCUCGUGAAUUCAUCUCCGGGGGUAGAGCACUGUUUCGGCAAGGGGGUCAUCCCGACUUACCAACCCGAUGCAAACUGCGAAUACCGGAGAAUGUUAUCACGGGAGACACACGGCGGGUGCUAACGUCCGUCGUGAAGAGGGAAACAACCCAGACCGCCAGCUAAGGUCCCAAAGUCAUGGUUAAGUGGGAAACGAUGUGGGAAGGCCCAGACAGCCAGGAUGUUGGCUUAGAAGCAGCCAUCAUUUAAAGAAAGCGUAAUAGCUCACUGGUCGAGUCGGCCUGCGCGGAAGAUGUAACGGGGCUAAACCAUGCACCGAAGCUGCGGCAGCGAC
Molecule: ribosomal RNA, 1178 nt
Filed under: Escherichia coli
Lineage: Bacteria; Pseudomonadati; Pseudomonadota; Gammaproteobacteria; Enterobacterales; Enterobacteriaceae
Description: partial 23S ribosomal RNA
Rfam family: Bacterial large subunit ribosomal RNA
Source: RNAcentral